UUCAAGUCGAUUGGGGUCAAGCCGCCGAAGGGGAUCCUCCUCUUCGGGCCGCCUGGCUCUGGGAAGACUCUGAUUGCCCGGGCGGUGGCGAACGAGACGGGGGCGUUCUUCUUCUGCAUCAACGGCCCCGAGAUCAUGUCGAAGCUGGCUGGAGAGAGCGAGAGCAACCUCAGGAAGGCGUUCGAAGAGGCGGAGAAGAACGCGCCGUCGAUCAUCUUCAUCGACGAGCUCGACUCGAUCGCCCCGAAGAGAGAGAAGACCCACGGAGAGGUUGAGAGGCGGAUCGUCUCUCAGCUGUUGACCUUGAUGGACGGCCUCAAGUCCCGAGCCCAUGUGAUCGUGAUCGGGGCGACCAAUCGGCCCAACAGCAUCGACCCAGCUCUGCGGAGGUUCGGCAGGUUUGACCGGGAGAUUGACAUCGGCGUCCCGGACGAGAUCGGACGGCUCGAAGUCCUCCGCAUCCACACCAAGAACAUGAAGCUCUCCGACGACGUGGGUUCCCUUUACUGAGACCUGCGGCGGCCUUCUCUCCGUGAUUCUUUGGAGUUGAACUUGGAAGGAGGAGCUGAAGGCUGUUCCUCGUUGCAGGUUGACCUGGAAAGGAUCUCCAAGGACACCCAUGGCUACGUCGGCGCCGACCUGGCGGCUCUCUGCACCGAGUCGGCUCUCCAGUGCAUCAGAGAGAAGAUGGACAUCAUCGACCUGG
RNAcentral lists this long non-coding RNA (706 nucleotides) under Spirodela polyrhiza (greater duckweed). RNAcentral's name for it is "long non-coding RNA (SPOL_LNC000965)". Lineage: Eukaryota; Viridiplantae; Streptophyta; Magnoliopsida; Alismatales; Araceae. The record is from RNAcentral.